AUAUUAGUGCCAUUGAUAGUAGUGCCAAUAAUAGUAUAACAACAAUUGAUAGUGGUGCUAUUUUUACUGCUACGAGUACUACUACUACCACCGAUGGUAAUAAUAAAACUGAUAUAUAUAACCUGAACAUUCAGAACAUUCAGAACACUCAGAACACUCAUAACACUCAGAACAUUCAAAACACUCAGAACAUUCAAAACACUCAAGAAUAUAUAACACCAAUAGAUUACUCGAAUAAUACAAUGGACCAAGUAAACACCAUUUCGGGUGAUAUAAAUUUGGUUGAUAACAAAAGUAAGAGUAACAAAGGUAGAAAAAAAAAUAAAAAGAAAAAUGAUGCAGAACAAAAUAUAUUACAAAAUACUGACGUAAUUAAUGAUAAGAAUUUAACUAAUGAUAGUAACAAUAUGUUAUUGGAAAAUAUUAAUAAAAAUGACAUAUUAACUGGUUUAACUAAAAAAAAUAAAAUAAGAAAACCGAGGAAAAAAAAAACAGAUAAUAAUGAUACUACUAUUGCUACUACUAAUGGUUUGGUUGUUAAUACUACAUCCGGUAAUGACAAUAUUGACGUUAAUAAUGGUACUAAACUUAUUACAGAUAUGGAUACAUUACAAAACCAAAAAAGUUCCAAUACUAAUCAAGAAAAAGGAGAGGAAAACAAAAUAACAACGUUAGCAGAGGGAGAACAGAUAAAACUAUAUAAACAAAAAAUAAAAGAAAUGUUUAAUCAAAAUAACAUGCACCAAAUGGAUGAACAUUCAUUUCAAAUGUUUUUAAAAGAUAAUAAAAAUGAACAAAUAUUUUUUGACAAAAUAAACAAUGAAACAUCAUCACUAAUAGGUGAUAGUGGUAGUACUAUUUCAACAAAUUACUUGUUAAAAAUAUUAGACUUAGAUAAAUCAAAGGAAAGAAAUGGUAAUGUUAGUGAUGACAUAAAUGAUGAAAAUGUCAUAAACAAAAAUGACGACCUUAACAAUGAACCUAAUAAUUACCAAAAAGAAAAUAAUAUUAAAAAAAAGAAAGCAGGUACAAAUGUGAGCGGACAAAAAAGAAAAAACCCACUAAAAGAGAAAACAACAACAAAAGAAAGAAAUGUAAGAAGAAAAAAAAAUGAGAAUAAGGAUGAUACUAUUAUGACAUUAACAUAUAUAACUAAGGAUGAAAAUAUGACCAAUAAUGAUACAGUUGUUGAAGGGGCUUUAAAUAAUAACACAAUAAAUAAUGAUAUAAUAAAUAAUAAUAUGAGUAGUAGUGGUAAUAUAAAUAAUAGUACUAAUAGUAAUAUUAAUAUAAAAAAAAAUAAUAUUAUUAACAAUAAAAAUGUGGCUAAUAAAAGAGUAUAUAUACCUCAUGUAAAUAAGUUUUCAAACUACUUAAAAAAUUUGAGAGCAUAUAACAAAUACCCAAAUCGAAAUUUUCACUACAAUUAUAGUAUUAACAAAUUAAAAAACAAAUUUAAAAAGUUCAGCUAUUGUAUGAAUAAAGUUUUUAAAAAAAAAAAUAUAAAUGACAUAAUUACAUUAAAUGAAAAUAUCAACAAUAAUAAACAAUUAUUAAGUUUAUUUAAAAAAAAAGAUACCCAAAAUUUAAAUAAAAAAAAUAUAUCUUUUUUUAUGGAAAAAAUGAAUUUUGAAGCAAUAGAUAUAUUAAUUCUCAAAAGAAUUAAUAUUUGUUUAGAUAAAAUAAAAAACACAAUAGGUUUUACAUGUGUUAUUAAUGACGCACAAAAAGUUGUAGAAAUAAUUAAAAACGCUUUUAAAAAUAGAUUAAACUUAAUGUGGCCUCUUAUUGAAUUUUCAAACAAGUAUAGAUUAGACCAGUACUUUCAUUUAUUGGGAAAAAACAGACUUAAUGCUCAACCAAAGUUUAAUGAUACAAAACUUUUUGUGCAUCAGAACAUAAACACCCUGGUGGUUUAUUUCAAUCAGCGAAAUAUAGAUAAAAAAAUGGUAAGCAAAUCUAAAAAAAAAGAUUGAUAAAUAAAAAGAUUGAUAAAUAAUAUAAUUAAGUUUGC
Molecule: long non-coding RNA, 2014 nt
Organism: Piliocolobus tephrosceles (Ugandan red Colobus)
Lineage: Eukaryota; Metazoa; Chordata; Mammalia; Primates; Cercopithecidae
Source: Ensembl